This 549-nucleotide ribosomal RNA is filed under the name uncultured Chlorophyta. RNAcentral's name for it is "SSU rRNA". It matches the Rfam family "Eukaryotic small subunit ribosomal RNA", at positions 603 to 1172 of the family's 1831-position model. Lineage: Eukaryota; Viridiplantae; Chlorophyta. The record is from RNAcentral.
AUUUAAGUUGUUGCAGUUAAAAAGCUCGUAGUCGGAUUUUGGCUGAGAACGGUCGGUCCGCCGUUAGGUGUGCACUGACUGGUCUCAGCUUCCUGGUGAGGAGGUGUGCUUCAUCGCCACUUAGUCACCGUGGUUACUUUGAAAAAAUUAGAGUGUUCAAAGCGGGCUUACGCUUGAAUAUAUUAGCAUGGAAUAACACCAUAGGACUCCUGUCCUAUUUCGUUGGUCUCGGGACGGGAGUAAUGAUUAAGAGGAACAGUUGGGGGCAUUCGUAUUUCAUUGUCAGAGGUGAAAUUCUUGGAUUUAUGAAAGACGAACUUCUGCGAAAGCAUUUGCCAAGGAUGUUUUCAUUGAUCAAGAACGAAAGUUGGGGGCUCGAAGAUGAUUAGAUACCAUCCUAGUCUCAACCAUAAACGAUGCCGACUAGGGAUUGGCGGAUGUUAAUUGAUGACUUCGCCAGCACCUUAUGAGAAAUCAAAGUUUUUGGGUUCCGGGGGGAGUAUGGUCGCAAGGCUGAAACUUAAAGGAAUUGACGGAAGGGCACCACCA